RNAcentral lists this long non-coding RNA (800 nucleotides) under Ursus maritimus (polar bear). Its description in RNAcentral is "lncRNA (ENSUMAG00000005117.1)". The record is from RNAcentral. Lineage: Eukaryota; Metazoa; Chordata; Mammalia; Carnivora; Ursidae.
AGUGUGGUUUUUAGGAAUGAAAAAAGUAUUUUUUUAAGAUUUUAUUUAUUUAUUUGACAGAGAGAUCACAGUAGGCAGAGCAACAGACAGAGGGAGAGGGAGAAGCAGGCUCCCUGCUGAGCAAGGAGCUGGAUGAGGACUCGAUUCCAGGACCCUAGGAUCAUGACCUGAGCCGAAGGCAGAUGCCCAAACGACUGAGCCGCCCGAGCACCCCAGGAAUGAAAGUCUUAUUGGUUUUCAUUCUUUCCUGCAGCAAAAAUCCUGGCAUCCUAUGUCUCCUGCCUCUCUGCAUCUCCGGGCGGGUGCAGCGAUGUUCCUGCCGCUGUGCUGGAUGAUGGCCCCUGCAGCCCACCGCUGUUCUAAGCGAGCAUGCCAGAAAGCUUGGAGGACAGCUGCUGCCCUUUCAGAGUAAAAACAUCCUCUGGGUAGCUAAAGCUCGGACUUCUUUCUAAGCAAGGUGGAUGGAAAAGAGACCAAGAAAAAAAAAGUGGCUUAAUGACCCAACUUCACCCAGAGAAUGGAAAAUAAAAUGCAAGAUUCCAAAACCCGCCCUUCCAUUUCAUCUUCAUUUUUGAAAAAUACAGGAAAAGGUGGGCUGUUUUGCCUUCCUACCAUGGACGAGGAUCUUGAAGGAGAAACUUGGCAGACUUUUUCCAUUCCCUGGGGCUUCGGCCAGGCAGUAGAGGACGAAGGAGAACAUAUAUGCCAGUGAGUAAUAGUCCUCAAGUACAAAUAUCCGGGGUCUUAUCAUUGUUUUCUGAGAUUAGCUUAUGUUUUUUGGUAGGAUGAAUUUAUUUGGA